Long non-coding RNA from Phycodurus eques (leafy seadragon), 552 nucleotides. RefSeq lists it as uncharacterized. The transcript has 3 exons. The record is from RefSeq and is a predicted model, not a curated record. Lineage: Eukaryota; Metazoa; Chordata; Actinopteri; Syngnathiformes; Syngnathidae.
AGCUGGCGCCUGUCCCAAGAGGUGCACUGAUGAGCUACAGCAUGUCGGAGAAUGUGUGCAAAAAGAACUAUGUGCUUGUUAACAUUGAAAAUACUGUAUGUAAGAAAAUGCUGACAGCUUUCCACAGCAGGAGUCACCUGGGAUUUUCAGACGUGUUGAAUUGGUGGUUCUUCUAGCAGAAAAGGUUGCAGAGUUCCAGCUGUCUUCUCCACCAGCGCAUCAAUGACAUCAUGAAGGGUUGCACAGGGAAUCUGCAGAAGCCAAUGGAAACCGUCAGAUGAGUUGAAUUAUGGAAAAAGUACCAAAUUUCCUGUAACUCUAUGGAGCAAUGAUGUCUAGACUAGAACAUGGAUAUGUUUCAUCAGGAUAAUGCAAAAGGAAGCAUGAAUCAAUCAGACGGUGAUGAUUAAUUUAAUAAAAAGCAUUGUUAAUGGUGAAACUUCAGGCAGUUUCUAUCCUUUUCUUUAAAUUGGUGUUAAUUUAAUUUAUUGGUGAAUAAUGGCCAAAAUAACAUAAUAUGAUAGUCCAAAUUUAUGAACAACUGAGUAUAUA